Chenopodium quinoa (quinoa) is the source of this 1530-nucleotide long non-coding RNA. RefSeq lists it as uncharacterized. The record is from RefSeq and is a predicted model, not a curated record. The transcript has 2 exons. Lineage: Eukaryota; Viridiplantae; Streptophyta; Magnoliopsida; Caryophyllales; Amaranthaceae.
AGCGUAAGCAUCCUGAUUUUGUAAAACGUUCUAACCAAGCAAGAGAUAAUCGGUUAUCUGGCCAAACAUUAGAGAAGUUUGACCCUGGCCAUCGCCAAGGUAGCAUAUCUACUCCUCAAGUGGUUAAAAAAAUGGCAAAGAAAAAGGAUGGAAUUUUACCAACUGCUGGUGAAGUCUAUGAGAGAAAUCAUUCUGUUUGUGUGGGCAAUGAUGAAGUUGAAUUGAUGGGUGACAAGUCUCAAAAAGUCAUGGUAUGAGUAUACUUCUAUAUUUUUCUAAGAUUACAAAAAAAUAUAUGGUAGUUAAUGUUUAGAGAUAUUAUGGAUUGUUUAUUUGUUUGUGUGAUUGAGUUGGAGGAUGAGAAUGAUUUGCCGGCAUUAAUCAUAUGAUUAAUGUGGUAUGGAAUAAUGUGAAUUGAAACAGGUUUAUUUUGAAGCCAUACCCUAUAGGAGGGAAUUCUUCAAUUUACAAAGGAGACUCUGUCGAAAUUUUUACUAAUAACUUCUUACAUAAAUUAUUUUGCUAUAAGUGUUGCAUCUUUUAUUUUAAAAAAAAAACAACGAUAAUAAAAAUACCCCUGAUCCUCUGUUCCCCGAUAGUUGUACCUUUGUAAUCUGGAACAUCUAUUAAGAGGUAAAAUGACACUUUUACCCCUAAUCCUCACAUUAAGGAAUUUCUAAACCAUCACCACCCACCCUCAAAUUAAAUUAAAUUGUGUUUUAGAAAUCCAAAAUAGUUUUAGGCUCGGACAAUGUCCCAAGUCAUUGCUUGUAUUUUUAUUAUAGUUGUUUUUAUUUAAAUGUAUUUAGUUUAUUUAAGUUUUAACAUUUGAGAUCAUAGUUACUAAUACAUAUCUUAAUGCAGGGAGAAUAUAUGGUUAACUUGAGGAAUAUAAGAAUAAAGGAAUUGAGAUAAACCCCGACAAAGUCUACUUGAAGGUUGUAGGUGGGCAACAGAAAGGAAAAGUCUACGGUUUAGGGAGUUCUUCACAAAUGUAUUACAAGAGCGAUCCUACUUCUCAAUCUACUGCAUCAUCUUCUACUCCUUCCAUGAUUUCUCAAUUAAGUUCUCAAGUUGAAGAACUAAAGAAGAUGGCGGAAAAAAACCAUAACAAGGUGGAAGAAAGCCAAAAAAUAGCGGCAGAGAGCUUAAAAUGUGCUAAGGAAUUCGUCGAAAAUCAUGAGAUCGAAAAAGCUACACGGAAGAAGGAAAAAUUAGCUAUGCAAAAAACAUUGCAGGAAAUGACAUCACUUGUAAAACAAGUUUACCGUCCUUAUAGCCUCCUACGCCUAUAGUCACCCGCUCUCGUGAUACAACUAAGUGAUUUUUAUUUUAUUGGUGGUAAUUUUAUGAACAACCGGUCUUUUACAUUGUCACUAGGUCUUAUUUGAAGCAGCUUUUUUUAUAUGGGAGGUGACUUUUGGAACAAUUCGUCAUAUGAGUUAAAUAUUGUUUUUUUAAUACAUUGAUACAAAAUUGAUUAUAUUUUGGAUAUUUGAAUAAAAUUAACAUUUUGGUUAUUUGAAUUUA